AUUGAACGCUGGCGGCCGGCCUAACACAUGCAAGUCGAACGAGUGGCGGACGGGUGAGUAAUUUCUGGGAAACUGCCCUAUGGAGGGGGAUAACUACUUGAAACGGUAGCUAAUACCGCCUACCAUCGGAUGUGCCCAGGUGGGAUUAGGUAGUUGGUGGGGUAACGGCGCACCAAGGCGACGAUCCCUAGCUGGUCUGAGAGGCUGACCAGCCACACUGGAACUGAGACACGGUCCAGACUCAUACGGGAGGAAGCAGUGGGGAAUAUUGCACAAUGGGCGCAAGCCUGAUGCAGCCAUGCCGCGUGAAUGAAGAAGGCCUGCGGGUUGUAAAGUACUUUCGGCGAGGAGGCGUUACUCGCAGAAGAAGCACCGGCUAACUCCGUGCCAGCAGCCGCGGUAAUUC
This 406-nucleotide ribosomal RNA is filed under the name uncultured bacterium. RNAcentral's name for it is "partial 16S ribosomal RNA". It matches the Rfam family "Bacterial small subunit ribosomal RNA", at positions 30 to 526 of the family's 1533-position model. The record is from RNAcentral.